Molecule: ribosomal RNA, 253 nt
Filed under: uncultured bacterium
Lineage: Bacteria
Description: partial 16S ribosomal RNA
Rfam family: Bacterial small subunit ribosomal RNA
Source: RNAcentral
UACGUAGGGGGCUAGCGUUGUCCGGAAUCAUUGGGCGUAAAGAGCGCGUAGGCGGCCAGAUAAGUCCGGUGUGAAAGUCAAAGGCUCAACCUUUGAAUGCCGCUGGAAACUGUCUGGCUAGAGUCCGGGAGGGGCGAGUGGAAUUCCUGGUGUAGCGGUGAAAUGCGCAGAUAUCAGGAGGAACACCGGUGGCGAAGGCGGGUCUCUGGGCAGUAACUGACGCUGAGGAGCGAAAGCGUGGGGAGCGAACAGG